GGGUUGUGAGGUUAAGCGACUAAGCGUACACGGUGGAUGCCAGGCAGUCAGAGGCGAUGAAGGACGUGCUAAUCUGCGAUAAGCGUCGGUGAGGUGAUAUGAACCGUUAUAACCGGCGAUUUCCGAAUGGGGAAACCCAGUGUGAUUCGUCACACUAUCAUUAACUGAAUCCAUAGGUUAAUGAGGCGAACCGGGGGAACUGAAACAUCUAAGUACCCCGAGGAAAAGAAAUCAACCGAGAUUCCCCCAGUAGCGGCGAGCGAACGGGGGGGAGCCCAGAGCCCUGAAUCCGGUGUGUGUGUUAGUGGAAGCGUCUGGAAAGGCGUGCGAUACAGGGUGACAGCCCCGUACACAAAAAUGCACAUAUUGUGAGCUCGAUGAGUAGGGCGGGACACGUGGUAUCCUGUCUGAAUAUGGGGGGACCAUCCUCCAAGGCUAAAUACUCCUGACUGACCGAUAGUGAAUCAGUACCGUGGGGAAAGGCGAAAAAGAACCCCGGCGAGGGGAGUGAAAAAAGAACCUGAAACCGUGUACGUACAAGCGGUGGGAAGCCUCUUAAUGGGGUGACUGCGUACCUUUGUAUAAUGGGUCAGCGACUUAUAUUCUGUAGCAAGGUUAACCGAAUAGGGGAGCCGAAGGGAAACCGAGUCUUAACUGGGCGUUAAGUUGCAGGGUAUAGACCCGAAACCCGGUGAUCUAGCCAUGGGCAGGUUGAAGGUUGGGUAACACUAACUGGAGGACCGAACCGACUAAUGUUGAAAAAUUAGCGGAUGACUUGUGGCUGGGGGUGAAAGGCCAAUCAAACCGGGAGAUAGCUGGUUCUCCCCGAAAGCUAUUUAGGUAGCGCCUCGUGAAUUCAUCUCCGGGGUAGAGCACUGUUUCGGCAAGGGGUCAUCCUGACUUACCAACCCGAUGCAAACUGCGAAUACCGGAGAAUGUUAUCACGGGAGACACACGGCGGGUGCUAACGUCCGUCGUGAAGAGGGAAACAACCCAGACCGCCAGCUAAGGUCCCAAAGUCAUGGUUAAGUGGAAACGAUGUGGGAAGGCCCAGACAGCCAGGAUGUUGGCUUAGAAGCAGCCAUCAUUUAAAGAAAGCGUAAUAGCUCACUGGUCGAGUCGGCCUGCGCGGAAGAUGUAACGGGGCUAAACCAUGCACCGAAGCUGCGGCAGCGACACUAUGUGUUGUUGGGUAGGGGAGCGUUCUGUAAGCCUGUGAAGGUGGCCUGUGAGGGUUGCUGGAGGUAUCAGAAGUGCGAAUGCUGACAUAAGUAACGAUAAAGCGGGUGAAAAGCCCGCUCGCCGGAAGACCAAGGGUUCCUGUCCAACGUUAAUCGGGGCAGGGUGAGUCGACCCCAAGGCGAGGCCGAAAGGCGUAGUCGAUGGGAAACAGGUUAAUAUUCCUGUACUUUGCGUUACUGCGAAGGGGGGACGGAGAAGGCUAUGUUGGCCGGGCGACGGUUGUCCCGGUUUAAGCGUGUAGGCUGGUUUUCCAGGCAAAUCCGGAAAAUCAAGGCUGAGGCGUGAUGACGAGGCACUACGGUGCUGAAGCGACAAAUGCCCUGCUUCCAGGAAAAGCCUCUAAGCAUCAGGUAACAUCAAAUCGUACCCCAAACCGACACAGGUGGUCAGGUAGAGAAUACCAAGGCGCUUGAGAGAACUCGGGUGAAGGAACUAGGCAAAAUGGUGCCGUAACUUCGGGAGAAGGCACGCUGAUAUGUAGGUGAAGCGACUUGCUCGUGGAGCUGAAAUCAGUCGAAGAUACCAGCUGGCUGCAACUGUUUAUUAAAAAAAACAGCACUGUGCAAACACGAAAGUGGACGUAUACGGUGUGACGCCUGCCCGGUGCCGGAAGGUUAAUGAUGGGGUUAGCGGUAACGCGAAGCCUUGAUCGAAGCCCCGGUAAAACGGCGGCCGUAACUAUAACGGUCCUAAGGUAGCGAAAUUCCUUGUCGGGUAAGUUCCGACCUGCACGAAUGGCGUAAUGAUGGCGGUGCUGUCUCCACCCGAGACUCAGUGAAAUUGAACUCGCUGUGAAGAUGCAGUGUACCCGCGGCAAGACGGAAAGACCCCGUGAACCUUUACUAUAGCUUGACACUGAACAUUGAGCCUUGAUGUGUAGGAUAGGUGGGAGGCUUUGAAGUGUGGACGCAGUCUGCAUGGAGCCGACCUUGAAAUACCACCCUUUAAUGUUUGAUGUUCUAACGUGGGCCCCCCGAUGGGGUUGCGGACAGUGUCUGGUGGGUAGUUUGACUGGGGCGGUCUCCUCCUAAAGAGUAACGGAGGAGCACGAAGGUUGGCUAAUCCUGGUCGGACAUCAGGAGGUUAGUGCAAUGGCAUAAGCCAGCUUGACUGCGAGCGUGACGGCGCGAGCAGGUGCGAAAGCAGGUCAUAGUGAUCCGGUGGUUCUGAAUGGAAGGGCCAUCGCUCAACGGAUAAAAGGUACUCCGGGGAUAACAGGCUGAUACCGCCCAAGAGUUCAUAUCGACGGCGGUGUUUGGCACCUCGAUGUCGGCUCAUCACAUCCUCGGGCUGAAGUAGGUCCCAAGGGGUAUGGCUGUUCGCCAUUUAAAGUGGUACGCGAGCUGGGUUUAGAACGUCGUGAGACAGUUCGGUCCCCAUUCGCCGUGGGCGCUGGAGAACUGAGGGGCUGCUCCUAGUACGAGGACCGGAGUGGACGCAUCACUGGUGUUCGGGUUGUCAUGCCAAUGGCACUGCCCGGUAGCUAAAUGCGGAAGAGAUAAGUGCUGAAAAGCAUCUAAGCACGAAACUUGCCCCGAGAUGAGUUCUCCUGACUCCUUGAGAGUCCUGAAGGAACGUUGAAGACGACGACGUUGAUAGGCCGGGUGUGUAAGCGCAGCGAUGCGUUGAGCUAACCGGUACUAAUGAACCGUGAGGCUUAACCUUACAACGCCGAAG
RNAcentral lists this ribosomal RNA (2919 nucleotides) under Escherichia coli. Its description in RNAcentral is "23S ribosomal RNA". It matches the Rfam family "Bacterial large subunit ribosomal RNA". Lineage: Bacteria; Pseudomonadati; Pseudomonadota; Gammaproteobacteria; Enterobacterales; Enterobacteriaceae. The record is from RNAcentral.